GAAGUUCUUCGGGGUUGGGUGCAAUUCCCUACCGGUGGUGAUGCCAUAGUGCGAGUCCACGACCCGGUGCAUAACCGGCUGAUUUGGUGCGAAUCCAAAACCGACAGUAAAGUCUGGAUGAAAGAAGAAAUGA
Regulatory RNA element from Firmicutes bacterium CAG:194, 133 nucleotides. It matches the Rfam family "FMN riboswitch aptamer (RFN element)". From Rfam's summary of the family: The RFN element is a highly conserved domain that is found frequently in the 5'-untranslated regions of prokaryotic mRNAs that encode for flavin mononucleotide (FMN) biosynthesis and transport proteins. Lineage: Bacteria; Bacillati; Bacillota. The record is from Rfam.